This 402-nucleotide ribosomal RNA is filed under the name bacterium. Its description in RNAcentral is "partial 16S ribosomal RNA". It matches the Rfam family "Bacterial small subunit ribosomal RNA", at positions 355 to 776 of the family's 1533-position model. The record is from RNAcentral.
UGGGGAAUUUUGCACAAUGGGGGAAACCCUGAUGCAGCGACGCCGCGUGAUUUAGAAGGCCUUCGGGUUGUAAAAAUCUUUUCUAUGGGAAGAAAAUGACAGUACCAUAGGAAUAAGGACCGGCUAAUUACGUGCCAGCAGCCGCGGUAAUACGUAAGGUCCGAGCGUUGUCCGGAAUCAUUGGGCGUAAAGGGUACGUAGGCGGGUAGACAAGUUAGAAGUGAAAUCCUAUAGCUGAACUAUAGUAAGCUUUUAAAACUGGUCAGCUUGAGGUAUGGAAGGGAAAGUGGAAUUCCUAGUGUAGCGGUGAAAUGCGCAGAUAUUAGGAGGAAUACCGGUGGCGAAGGCGACUUUCUGGCCAUAACCUGACGCUGAGGUACGAAAGCGUGGGUAGCAAACAGG